This 371-nucleotide ribosomal RNA is filed under the name uncultured organism. RNAcentral's name for it is "partial 16S ribosomal RNA". It matches the Rfam family "Bacterial small subunit ribosomal RNA", at positions 527 to 896 of the family's 1533-position model. The record is from RNAcentral.
GUAGGGUGCGAGCGUUAAUCGGAAUUACUGGGCGUAAAGCGUGCGCAGGCGGUUGUGCAAGACAGAUGUGAAAUCCCCGGGCUCAACCUGGGAAUUGCAUUUGUGACUGCACGGCUAGAGUGUGUCAGAGGGGGGUAGAAUUCCACGUGUAGCAGUGAAAUGCGUAGAGAUGUGGAGGAAUACCGAUGGCGAAGGCAGCCCCCUGGGAUAACACUGACGCUCAUGCACGAAAGCGUGGGGAGCAAACAGGAUUAGAUACCCUGGUAGUCCCACGCCCCUAAACGAUGUCAACUAGUUGUCGGGUCUUAAUUGACUUGGUAACGCAGCUAACGCGUGAAGUUGACCGCCUGGGGAGUACGGUCGCAAGAUUA